Molecule: long non-coding RNA, 1890 nt
Filed under: Podarcis muralis (Common wall lizard)
Lineage: Eukaryota; Metazoa; Chordata; Lepidosauria; Squamata; Lacertidae
Description: lncRNA (ENSPMRG00000014064.1)
Source: RNAcentral
GGCUCAGUCGGAACGGCACCCCUCUGCAGGGGCUGGAAAGGUGUCUGAAGGAGCUUCCCCCUGAGCUCGCCCAGCCAGCCCUCUUCGCCAGCCGUCAGCAGCUCCCCAGACAGGCUCCACAGGUGGACCCUGGAGGCAGGGAGGUGGAUGAGGAGGGAGGGAAGGACCCAGCCGGAACAGCACCCCCUUGCAAGGCCUGGAGCGGUGCCUGAGGGAGCUGCCCCAGAACACCCCCAGCCAGCCGUGGUCACCGGCCGUCAGCUCCUCCAUCAGCAGCUCCCCGGACAGGCUGCACAGUUGGACCCCGGAGCCAGGGAGGUGGACCCGGAAGGAGGAAGGUCUCAGCCGAAAUGGCACCCCCUUGCAAAUGGUGCUGGAGGGCUACUCAAAGGAGCUCCCUGGCGCCCCGAGCGGCCACUUCUUCCGCUCUGUGGCCAGCAGCUCUUCCGACGGACAAGGGAAAUUGGGUGCAGGAGAAAGUCCUGCGAAGGAGGCAGGUAAGACGAGGCUCAGCUCCUCAGUCAUGCCCACCCCUAAACGAUUUUGCACCAUUUAUUCCAGAUGCAGCUAGCCGGGGCUUUCCCCCCAUCGUGAUUCCUGCGUUGCAGCGGGUUGGGCUAGAUGGCCCCUGGGGUACCCCUUCCAACUCUGCCAUUCUAGGAUUUUGUGUCUAUAACAGAUUUUACCUGGUUUUCACCUGCUACUCGCCCUUCUCUUCCUUCAGGGAUCCCACCCCUUCAAGGCCUGGAGAAGUGCUUGAAAGAGAUCCCGCUGGGUGGGGUUUCUUGCCCAAACGCCGUUCUUACGGGAAGUGACUUCUCUGCCCAGAAGCCCAGGAGGAUGGAGGCGUCUUUGCAGAGGCUGUGGGACAGAGGCGGCGCCACAAACAGCAUCCUGCCACGUCCCACGAGCUCCUCUGGCUCCGUGGCAGCGGAGGCCGCGGUGGAAGCUUCUCCCCUCGACCGACUGAUGAGUUGCCUGAAGGAGAUCCCCAUUCAGAGGCCGAGUUACCUGAACACGCCCAGCGUCUCCUCGUCCGCCUCCAGCUGCAGCGAGAGCGAGCGCCAGAGCCCCGGGUGCAGCCUCUGGUGGGACUGCGCUCAAGACACAGGAUCGGAGAUGGAAGGGACUUUGCGGCAGAAGGGGAUGGAGUCCAGGCUGCAGAGCGCGUUGCUUGCUCCCGAGGAGGAAAGGGGGCUUCCUUCUGCCCGAGAACCAGAGCUUGUCACCAUGGGCAGCCGAGCGCCAUCGGCCUCCCCUCUCGGUGGCCUGGAGAGAUGCUUAGACAGCAUCGCCAUGAGCCAGCCUCUCCCCUCCAACAUCCCACCUGGUGAUGCCAAGAGUCCGGGCGAUGUGGUACCCAGGAGAUCCCGGCAAGGGGUGGUUGGAUCACAUCCCACAAAUCCUCCAGCAGAUGACAACCUCUCCCACGACCCACAGAUUGGUCCGAAAGAUCCAGCGGCAGCCAGUACCCCGAGUCCUCCCAGCACACCAGCCCAGGACUCCUUCGGUGGAACGCCUGAGAGGAACGUGGAAGGCCGUGUUCAGCAUCCCCAGGCGGAAGCUGCGAGGAAACGGACACCGAGCAGCUCCUGCCUCCAAGGCCUGGCGAAUCUCCUGGCUGAAAGGCCCGCCAACCCUCCUUGUCGCUUCCAUCCGCUCCCCAGCAAGGCCCAGGGCAGCUCGGAGCAAAGGGAAGCGCAGGCGAGCGUCUCUUCGGCCGAGGAAGGUGAGGGUCUCUUCUGGAGCGUCCUGGCGCCAGAGGCCAGGGUAGCUUUUGUAAGCUUCCAAAAUGGCACAUCCAAGUUGACAUGUUUAAUCGGAGAGAAGUCAUGGUCAAGACUGGAAAUAUAUAGACUUUCUUGCGUGAAAGAGAGAAUGAACUUGUGA